This 24-nucleotide non-coding RNA is filed under the name Arabidopsis thaliana (thale cress). Lineage: Eukaryota; Viridiplantae; Streptophyta; Magnoliopsida; Brassicales; Brassicaceae. The record is from RNAcentral.
GCACUACGAAUGGUGGAAAUGUCA